RNAcentral lists this long non-coding RNA (1797 nucleotides) under Homo sapiens (human). RNAcentral describes it as "HSALNT0128965". Lineage: Eukaryota; Metazoa; Chordata; Mammalia; Primates; Hominidae. The record is from RNAcentral.
CUUAAAAGUGACCAGACUUGGGAGUAUCCUUCCCUACCUACUCUGGACUACACAGACAUGGAGAAAAGCACUGCAUGGAGAAGGAUUAGAGGAUUAGAGAUCACAGCAUCAUAAAACAGAGGAAACCGAGUAAAGUGGAAAAGCUGUCCUGAUCAUAUGGCAUGCACACCAGACUGCAAAAGGACGUCCACACUAUUUAACAGGACUGUGGCAAAAUAGCUUUAAAGUAAGGCGAGCAUUGUGUAUGGCCCAAGCAUACCCUGUAGGAAGAGCAAAGCUAGGCUCACCUCUCAGAGACUGUGUCUCAGAAAGAGGCUUCCUUUCUUGCCUAGGUUCUUCCAUGAAAUUCGUCAUUGGCAGGUGCUUUUCCAGGGAGAUGCCUGUGCUCUCCCUGUGCAGACUCUGUGCACAAGGAAGUGGCUUUAGAGAGUGUGUUUUCUGAUGCCUCCUUUAUAUUCUAAAUGUAUAACUAGUAAAACAACAAUUACUACCGCUUGGUGAAAUUGUUUUUUGUUUUUUUCUGAAAACUGCCUCUGACUCCACCCUGUACACUGACUAAGCAGGGCCCUUAAAAAACUUAUAAAAAGUUGUUUUUUUUUUUUUUUUUUUUUCAAAUUAAAAACAUGAAAAUUACACCAAAAAGAUGGAACUACUUUUGUAGCACAACUCAGAACUUCUGUUCGUAACACCGGACUAGAGAAGAGGUCGCUUUUGGCUGAAUCUAAUGACCUUAGAAGGGAAAGGCCAUUGCUGGGCAUUUGGGGAACCAAAGCAAUUUCAGCUAACAGUGACCAGUUUUUAGAAUGGAGCUUAUGAUCAGAGGACCAUAAACCCUCAUCCACCCUAGAGCUCAAUGCCAGAAAAAUAAAAAAUAAUACAAAAAAUAAAGGAAAAUAGCUUUUUGUGCUAUAUCAGAAUGCUGGCAGGUAGACAAUUCAGUAACCUGUGCCACUUUCUAAACAUCUGUAAGACCACAAAAAAAAAAUGGGUUUUACAGAAUACGAAGACCAACACAGUCUUAGAGGAUCAUUCAACCUUUCCUACAUGCCAAGCUGUGUGAUUGGAAAAUAGAAGAGCCAUAGCUCUUGCAAGAUUAGAGGAAAAGCAAGUAUUUGUCAAGAGCCAAAGAAAUGUGUUCAAAUAAUGGAGUUUCCUCUGUGUCGCACACAGCUUUUCCUUCCCGUAGGUACUAAGAGUUCUUUGGUGGUUAGAGAGAUGGCCUGGAGCUCAGGGCAGGAGAUGACGCUGAAGAGCUACCUACUCAUUAACCCCAUUCCAUGGAAAAACAGGUGCUUACAGGAAAGGAUAGGGAGGAAAAAGAAAUGUAAAUGAAUCUAUUGUUUGGUAGGAAAGUUGAUUCACUGAUUAUCUAUGGAUUUCAAUGAUCUGUGCUUUACUCUUGCUACUGUGGAUAACCAAAGGUCACUGUUAACGUAUCUUUUGCUUAAAAAUGUUAAUAUGCUUAUUAUGCUUUAAAAUCUAGCUAUUUAAGGGCAUGAAUGGUUUAAAGCAAAUUUUUACAUCAUGUCAUUAUGGCCCUGAAAAAAGGAGAUUCUGCCAAUGGAAAGGGUUUUGUUUAGCCCCAGUUAAGAUUUCAACCUAUUCUGUGUCAGUUUAUAGUUUUUCCAGGAUGUGGAAAAUAUUAAAUGAAGAAAGCAUCAUUUUCUUCAUUUAAUAAAGUAUUACAUUCCCAGAUAAAUUAGUAUAUACAUAGGAGAAUGGUUAGUGUUAAAUACUAGGUUUUAAUUCUCCGUUUAGGAAACUCCUUACAGAUGGACUUCCUUGUUCUCCGGCAAC